Molecule: unclassified non-coding RNA, 198 nt
Filed under: uncultured Sebacina
Lineage: Eukaryota; Fungi; Basidiomycota; Agaricomycetes; Sebacinales; Sebacinaceae
Description: sequence contains ITS2
Source: RNAcentral
UACUCUCACACUCUGAUCCUUUGGAUUGCGAGUGGUGGACUUGGGUGUUGCUGCUGCGUGGUGGCUCACCUCAAAUGCGUUAGUGCAACUCCUGAUUGGACAUAGUACGGCGUGAUAAGUGUCUUCGCCGGCGCCUCGUAAGAGGGUGGCUGAUUGGGAGCUCUGUGCUUCACAAACCGUCUUCGGACAAUUCUGACA